RNAcentral lists this ribosomal RNA (263 nucleotides) under uncultured bacterium. RNAcentral describes it as "partial 16S ribosomal RNA". It matches the Rfam family "Bacterial small subunit ribosomal RNA", at positions 524 to 776 of the family's 1533-position model. The record is from RNAcentral.
UACAGAGGGUGCGAGCGUUGUCCGGAAUACUGGGCGUAAAGCGUGCGCAGGCGGUUGUGCAAGACAGAUGUGAAAUCCCCCGGGCUUAACCUGGGAAUUGCAUUUUGUGACUGCACGGCUAGAGUGUGUCAGAGGGGGGGGGUAGAAAUUCCACGUGUAGCAGUGAAAAUGCGUAGAUAUGUGGAGGAAUACCGAUGGCGAAGGCAGCCCCCCUGGGAUAACACUGACGCUCAUGCACGAAAAGCGUGGGGGAGCAAAACAGG